GAUGAACGCUGGCGGCGUGCCUAAUACAUGCAAGUCGAGCGAACGGACGAGAAGCUUGCUUCUCUGAUGUUAGCGGCGGACGGGUGAGUAACACGUGGAUAACCUACCUAUAAGACUGGGAUAACUUCGGGAAACCGGAGCUAAUACCGGAUAAUAUUUUGAACCGCAUGGUUCAAAAGUGAAAGACGGUCUUGCUGUCACUUAUAGAUGGAUCCGCGCUGCAUUAGCUAGUUGGUAAGGUAACGGCUUACCAAGGCAACGAUGCAUAGCCGACCUGAGAGGGUGAUCGGCCACACUGGAACUGAGACACGGUCCAGACUCCUACGGGAGGCAGCAGUAGGGAAUCUUCCGCAAUGGGCGAAAGCCUGACGGAGCAACGCCGCGUGAGUGAUGAAGGUCUUCGGAUCGUAAAACUCUGUUAUUAGGGAAGAACAUAUGUGUAAGUAACUGUGCACAUCUUGACGGUACCUAAUCAGAAAGCCACGGCUAACUACGUGCCAGCAGCCGCGGUAAUACGUAGGUGGCAAGCGUUAUCCGGAAUUAUUGGGCGUAAAGCGCGCGUAGGCGGUUUUUUAAGUCUGAUGUGAAAGCCCACGGCUCAACCGUGGAGGGUCAUUGGAAACUGGAAAACUUGAGUGCAGAAGAGGAAAGUGGAAUUCCAUGUGUAGCGGUGAAAUGCGCAGAGAUAUGGAGGAACACCAGUGGCGAAGGCGACUUUCUGGUCUGUAACUGACGCUGAUGUGCGAAAGCGUGGGGAUCAAACAGGAUUAGAUACCCUGGUAGUCCACGCCGUAAACGAUGAGUGCUAAGUGUUAGGGGGUUUCCGCCCCUUAGUGCUGCAGCUAACGCAUUAAGCACUCCGCCUGGGGAGUACGACCGCAAGGUUGAAACUCAAAGGAAUUGACGGGGACCCGCACAAGCGGUGGAGCAUGUGGUUUAAUUCGAAGCAACGCGAAGAACCUUACCAAAUCUUGACAUCCUUUGACAACUCUAGAGAUAGAGCCUUCCCCUUCGGGGGACAAAGUGACAGGUGGUGCAUGGUUGUCGUCAGCUCGAGUCGUGAGAUGUUGGGUUAAGUCCCGCAACGAGCGCAACCCUUAAGCUUAGUUGCCAUCAUUAAGUUGGGCACUCUAAGUUGACUGCCGGUGACAAACCGGAGGAAGGUGGGGAUGACGUCAAAUCAUCAUGCCCCUUAUGAUUUGGGCUACACACGUGCUACAAUGGACAACACAAAGGGCAGCGAAACCGCGAGGUCAAGCAAAUCCCAUAAAGUUGUUCUCAGUUCGGAUUGUAGUCUGCAACUCGACUACAUGAAGCUGGAAUCGCUAGUAAUCGUAGAUCAGCAUGCUACGGUGAAUACGUUCCCGGGUCU
This 1372-nucleotide ribosomal RNA is filed under the name uncultured bacterium. RNAcentral describes it as "bacterial SSU rRNA". It matches the Rfam family "Bacterial small subunit ribosomal RNA", at positions 28 to 1381 of the family's 1533-position model. The record is from RNAcentral.